Molecule: ribosomal RNA, 405 nt
Filed under: uncultured bacterium
Lineage: Bacteria
Description: partial 16S ribosomal RNA
Rfam family: Bacterial small subunit ribosomal RNA
Source: RNAcentral
GACGACGCUGGCGGCGUGCUUAACACAUGCAAGUCGAACGAGUGGCGGACGGGUGAGUAAUGCUUAGGAAUUUGCCUGGUCGCGUGGGAUAACUUCCGGUAACGGUAGCUAACUCCGCAUACUAUCGGAUGUGCCUAGAGGGGAUUAGCUGGUAGGUGGGGUAAAGGCUCACCUAGGCGACGAUGCCUAGCUGGUCUGAGAGGAUGACCGGCCAAACUGGAACAGAGCCACGGACCAAACUCCUACGGGAGGAAGGGGUGGGGAAGAUUGCGCUAUGGGCGCAAGCCUGAUGGAGCCAUGCCGCGUGGAUGAAGGGGGCCUUCGGGUUGUAAGGUACUAUCAGUGGGGAGGCGUUACCCGGAGAAGAAGCACCGGCUAACUCCGUGCCAGCAGCCGCGGUAAUUC